RNAcentral lists this ribosomal RNA (460 nucleotides) under uncultured bacterium. RNAcentral describes it as "partial 16S ribosomal RNA". It matches the Rfam family "Bacterial small subunit ribosomal RNA", at positions 338 to 795 of the family's 1533-position model. The record is from RNAcentral.
CCUACGGGAGGCAGCAGUGAGGAAUAUUGGUCAAUGGACGCAAGUCUGAACCAGCAAUGCCGCGUGCAGGAAGACGGCUCUCUGAGUUGUAAACUGCUUUUGUACGAGGGUAAACGCAGAUACGCGUAUCUGUCUGAAAGUAUCGUACGAAUAAGGCUCGGCUAACUCCGUUCAAGCAGCCGCGGUAAUACGGAGGAUUCAAGCGUUAUCCGGAUUUUUUGGGUUUAAAGGGUGCGUAGGCGGUCGGAUAAGUUAGAGGUGAAGUCCCGAGGCUCAACUUCGGAAUUGCAUCUGAUACUGUUCGGCUAGAGAGUAGUUGCGGUAGGCGGAAUGUAUGGUGUAGCGGUGAAAUGCUUAGAUAUUACGAAGAACUCCAGUGGCGAAGGCAGCUCACUGGACUGCAACUGACACUGAGGCUCGAAAGUGUGGGUAUCAAACAGGAUUAGAUACCCCAGUAGUC